Molecule: ribosomal RNA, 957 nt
Filed under: bacterium IARFR1754
Lineage: Bacteria
Description: bacterial SSU rRNA
Rfam family: Bacterial small subunit ribosomal RNA
Source: RNAcentral
UGCAAGUCGAACGCGUUGGCCCAACUGAUUGAACGUGCUUGCACGGACUUGACGUUGGUUUACCAGCGAGUGGCGGACGGGUGAGUAACACGUAGGUAACCUGCCCCAAAGCGGGGGAUAACAUUUGGAAACAGAUGCUAAUACCGCAUAACAAUUUGAAUCGCAUGAUUCAAAUUUAAAAGAUGGCUUCGGCUAUCACUUUGGGAUGGACCUGCGGCGCAUUAGCUUGUUGGUAGGGUAACGGCCUACCAAGGCUGUGAUGCGUAGCCGAGUUGAGAGACUGAUCGGCCACAAUGGAACUGAGACACGGUCCAUACUCCUACGGGAGGCAGCAGUAGGGAAUCUUCCACAAUGGGCGCAAGCCUGAUGGAGCAACACCGCGUGAGUGAAGAAGGGUUUCGGCUCGUAAAGCUCUGUUGUUAGAGAAGAACGUGCGUGAGAGYAACUGUUCACGCAGUGACGGUAUCUAACCAGAAAGUCACGGCUAACUACGUGCCAGCAGCCGCGGUAAUACGUAGGUGGCAAGCGUUAUCCGGAUUUAUUGGGCGUAAAGCGAGCGCAGGCGGUUUGAUAAGUCUGAUGUGAAAGCCUUUGGCUUAACCAAAGAAGUGCAUCGGAAACUGUCAGACUUGAGUGCAGAAGAGGACAGUGGAACUCCAUGUGUAGCGGUGGAAUGCGUAGAUAUAUGGAAGAACACCAGUGGCGAAGGCGGCUGUCUGGUCUGCAACUGACGCUGAGGCUCGAAAGCAUGGGUAGCGAACAGGAUUAGAUACCCUGGUAGUCCAUGCCGUAAACGAUGAGUGCUAGGUGUUGGGAGGGGUUUCCGCCCUUCAGUGCCGCAGCUAACGCAUUAAGCACUCCGCCUGGGGAGUACGACCGCAAGGUUGAAACUCAAAGGAAUUGACGGGGCCCGCACAAGCGGUGGAGCAUGUGGUUUAAUUCGAAGCUACGCGAAGA